Molecule: ribosomal RNA, 301 nt
Filed under: uncultured bacterium
Lineage: Bacteria
Description: partial 16S ribosomal RNA
Rfam family: Bacterial small subunit ribosomal RNA
Source: RNAcentral
CAGUCGCCGCGGUAAUACGUAGGUCCCGAGCGUUGUCCGGAUUUAUUGGGCGUAAAGCGAACGCAGGCGGUUAGAAAAGUCUGAAGUGAAAGGCAGUGGCUCAACCAUUGUAGGCUUUGGAAACUGUUUAACUUGAGUGCAGAAGGGGAGAGUGGAAUUCCAUGUGUAGCGGUGAAAUGCGUAGAUAUAUGGAGGAACACCGGUGGCGAAAGCGGCUCUCUGGUCUGUAACUGACGCUGAGGCUCGAAAGCGUGGGGAGCGAACAGGAUUAGAUACCCCCGUAGUCCCUGUCUCUUAUACC